Molecule: ribosomal RNA, 253 nt
Filed under: uncultured bacterium
Lineage: Bacteria
Description: partial 16S ribosomal RNA
Rfam family: Bacterial small subunit ribosomal RNA
Source: RNAcentral
UACGGGGGGGGCAAGCGUUGUUCGGAAUUACUGGGCGUAAAGGGUUUGUAGGUGGCUCGCUAAGUCAGACGUGAAAUCCCUCAGCUUAACUGGGGAACUGCGUCUGAGACUGGCAAGCUUGAGUGCAGGAGAGGAACGCGGAAUUCCAGGUGUAGCGGUGAAAUGCGUAGAUAUCUGGAGGAACACCGGUGGCGAAGGCGGCGUUCUGGACUGAAACUGACACUGAGGAACGAAAGCCAGGGGAGCAAACGGG